AUAAAGAAAUAAUUGAAUGGUAGUUAUGGAGAAUCAGCACUUGGAGGAAUGACUAAUUUACUUUUCAUUUAUUUAUUUAUUUUUUUAUAUUAUUAUUAUUUUUUUGGUGAUACGUUAUGAUGUCGCUGGUCAUCAUAUUUGUCUGUCUUAUCCUUAUCAUUAUUAUCCUUACUACUCAUACUCUUGAUAUUACUGCCCAUAUUAUGUGUAUCUACAACUACCACCACUACUACUAUUACUACUACAACUACUUUCACCAGCACUACUACUCCCCAUACUCUUGAUAGUAAUGUCCAUGUAUAUUAUCGGUGUGUAUUACCAUCACUGUUUCUUCAGGUCGGGAGUGAUAGGCGUUCAUAUAUACAAAUGUUACCCUCACUAAUAUCACAUGACAUAACUCUACAAAAUUUUACCUAUAGUGAAACCAAAUUGUCGAGUCCAUUUUUCCGUUGGCUCCCUGGUUCCAUUUCUCCCCUCUGCUCUGCCACACAGUCCCAAGACCAAUUUUUUCCUCAUAUGUUACCUAUAGCUUACAUAUGAGAGGAAGAGACAGGUGUUGGGAGUGUGUGGCAGAGCAGAGGGGAGGCAAGGACCUGCGGAAGACUACGCCAGACUGGCCUCAACAUAUUUGGAAGACUGUAUGUACUGUUAUUAUUAUUUCUUCAAGUCAGGAGUGAUGGCCAUUCAUAUAUACAAACUUCAAAAUUUUAUCCAUAUACUCCUCUAUGUACUCCUGUUAUUAUUAUUUCUUCAAGUCAGGAGUGAUGGCCAUUCAUAUAUACAAACUUCAAAAUUUUAUCCAUAUACUCCUCUAUGUACUCCUGUUAUUAUUAUUUCUUCAAGUCAGGAGUGAUGGCCAUUCAUAUUUACAAACUUCAAAAUUUUAUCCAUAUACUCCUCUAUGUACUCCUGUUAUUAUUAUUUCUUCAAGUCAGGAGUGAUGGCCAUUCAUAUAUACAAACUUCAAAAUUUUAUCCAUAUACUCCUCUAUGUACUCCUGUUAUUAUUAUUUCUUCAAGUCAGGAAGGAUAGCCAUUCGGAUUCAGAAACGUUACUAUUACAAUUACCACAGUGCAGAACUACCGGUAUACAAAAUUUCCUGUUAUCGGCACUCCUUAAGAUCCUAUACUCUAUUCAGCUUGAGGUGAGAACGUGUCAGAAAAGAAGCAUCACUCGUUACUCUCCUGCCUGACUUUACCUGAAUCUGUGGGACUGGCUGGUAGGGGAGAGGGGAGGUGCGGCACACUACCCUGAACAGUUACUUGAUUUAGGGAUGAGCAGGGAGUAGGCAGCUCAUUGGAAUAGCUGUCAAUCAAUCACUAGUGGACCUUUUUAUUAUCAUUUUAUUUUUUGUUCUAACUGACUUUUUUUUUUUUUCUUAGUGGGUUUUUUAUUUUCCAGUGGGCUCUUUUUUCUCACUUUUUUUUUUGCCCUUGAACCACUUCCUUUUUUUUCUAACAGACCUUUUUUUUCUUAGUGGGCUUUACUUUCCAGCGAUCUUCUUUUCCUCACUUAUUUUUACCUUUGAACUACUUGCUCUUUUUCUAGCGGACUUUUUUUUCCAGUGGGCUUUUUUUCCUCAUUUAUUUUUCCCCUUGAACUACUUCCUUAACUGUAAAGAAACAAAACAGAACAAAGCAGCUUUGCCCUACCUCCAUCACCUAUAGGGAGGAGCUUCUGAAGUGACGCGUUCUCACCUUAGACUGAAUAGGCCAUGUAAUAUUUCUUCGAGGCAGGAGUGACAGCCAUGCCAUACAGUCCGUCAUCAGUGCCAGCAUCCACACCCAACCAGGCUUCAGCAAUAUACAGUAACCAGUCUAUCAUUCAAUAUGUACACCUUGCUAUCACCCAAGUACACCUAGGCCAUAUUAAUUGUUACUAUUGUUAUCGACCCAUAGGUACUAAUUAAAGGUGAAGCUGAAGUUUAAGAGUAAGAUCAACAUUGCCAGAUUGUCGUACUCAGCCCACCUUUAUUUGCCAAUUUCCGACCCCAAAAUUGUCGCUUCCACUCCAAAAACUAGCUCCAUAUAUAGUUAUCGUUAAAAUGGUUAAUUACUUGCCAAUUUCCGACCCCUAAACUGUCAUUUCCACCCCGAAAACUGGCUUCAUAUAUAGUUAUCGUUAAAAUGGUUACUGACUGGUGUUUCUUGGCAAUAGUUAUGGGUCAGAAACUGGUUAAUACGAGGCUCUGAGUACAAUAAUUUGGCAAUGGUGAUUAAGAUGCAUAUAUACACCUCCAUUUAGGUAGUUCUUACACCUGAGAAUUAUAAGGAAUCUGCAUAUCUUAGUGUAGCAUAAGUAUAAGCAGUGAAAAGUGUGUUUCUCUGUUCUAUUUACUGCGCGUACGUGACUCGAAGGAAGUAAUAUUUUAAUCAACCUGUAAUAUUCUUAAAUCUUGUCUUGUAUCUAAGGGAAGUUUGCAUAUGAUUCUGCAGACUCUUUGCUGUAAUUGUGAAGUUACGGUUAAUAUUCUUGAAUUUCCGAAGUUUGAGCAGCCCAGAUGAUAUAAUUUUCUAUGGCUAAAACACUAUAAAUGAUUUCUAUUGAUGAAGGUUUGUGUAGUGGAUUAGUGUCGUUCUGUCAUUUCUUAGCUCCUGGAAGAAACCUAUUAUUUUUGUAUGACUUUCUAUUGCACUCCCAAAACUUUGACCAUUGUAUAAACUUGAUAAAUACCUUCAGAAAAAAAGCUUGUCAUUGUGAUGUUAAAAGAAGAAAAAGAAGAAACUAGUCAUUAGGAUGUUGAACGAAGAAAAAAGAAGCUUGUUAUUUGGAUGUUAAUAGAAGAAAAAAAAUUAUUAGAAUGUUAAAAGAAGAAAAAUAAGCUUGUCAUUAUGAUGCUAAAAGAAGAAAAAAGAAGCUUAUCAUUAGGACAUUAAACAAAGAAGAAAAAUAAGCUUGUCAUUAUGAUGCUAAAAGAAGAAAAAAGAAGCUUAUCAUUAGGACAUUAAACAAAGAAGAAAAAUAAGCUUGUCAUUAUGAUGCUAAAAGAAGAAAAAAGAAGCUUAUCAUUAGGACAUUAAACAAAGAAGAAAAAGAAGCUUGUCAUUAUGAUGCUAAAAGAAGAAAAAAGAAGCUUAUCAUUAGGACAUUAAACAAAGAAGGAAAAUAAGCUUGUCAUUAUGAUGUUAAGAGAAGGAAAAAGAAGCUUGUCAUUAUGAUGUUAAAAGAAGAAAAAAGAAGCUUAUCAUUAGGACAUUAAACAAAGAAGGAAAAUAAGCUUGUCAUUAUGAUGUUAAGAGAAGGAAAAAGAAGCUUAUCAUUAGGACAUUAAACAAAGAAAAAAAAGAAGCUUAUCAUUAUGAUGCUAAAAGAAGAAAAAAGAAGCUUAUCAUUAGGACAUUAAACAAAGAAGAAAAAUAAGCUUAUCAUUAGGACAUUAAACAAAGAAGAAAAGGAAGCUUAUCAUUAGGACAUUAAACAAAGAAGAAAAAGCUUCUCAUUUUAACCGAGUCUCGCUUACGCUAUCACUGAGCAAACUCAACAUAUAGUAGACAGCUUAUGUAACAGCACCUCAUUGUUUUAUACCCCCCAAAAAUAUAAUUGUUGCAGAAAGUUGAAAGUUGAAAUAAUACUUAAAGGUUUAAAGGAUUAUUUUUUUAUGAGCCCCACACACCCCGAUGGCAGAGUUUAUCAGAGGAACUCCACUAACUGUCAGUCUUGUGGUUCAUUUUGCCACUCGAUAGAAGCUUCACCCGGUAGACCUCCUGUUGAUUAGUGGGUGCCUUGGCCAGUCUGUACGCAUGUCUCCAAUUUGUACUCGGGAUAGGAAUGAACUGCAGGAAGAUUGACAUGAGGUAGAGAAGUGAAGUAACCAAAACAGACAUUGAUUUUUCAGACUAUAUGUGAAGUCUAAUUUCUCUACUCUUCUGUAAUCUCAUGUACUCUUUCUCCUUUCUUUUUGCUUCUCGGGAUAGGAAUGAAGCACAGGAAGAUUGACAUGAGGUAGAGAAGUGAAGUAACCAAAACAGACAUUGAUUUUUCAGACUAUAUGUGAAGUCUAAUUUCUCUACUCUUCUGUAUUCUCAUGUACUCUUUCUCCUUCUUGCUCUUUGCUUCUCGGGAUAGGAAUGAAGCACGGGAAGAUUACAUGAGGUAGAAAAGUGAAGUAACCAAAACAGACAUUAAUUUUCCAGACUAUAUGUGAAGUCUAAUUUCUCUACUCUUCUGUAAUCUCAUGUACUCUUUCUCCUUCUUGCUCUUUGCUUCUCGGGAUAGGAAUGAAGCACAGGAAGAUUGACAUGAGGUAGUGAAGUGAAAUAACCAAAACAGACAUUGAUUUUUCAGACUAUAAGUGAACUCUAAUUUUUCUCUUCUUAUAUAUUAUCUGUACUCUUUCUCCUUUCUUUUUCUUCCUAAUUAAUUUAUAGAUUUUUUUACAAUAUUUGAACUGUAAUUUCUAUAAUCUUUACAUCCUUUCAUCCUUUUUCUCCUCCUCUCUCUCUCUCCACUUUCAUUUUUCAGACAUUAUUUGAACUAUAAUAAUAAUAAUCUGUAUUCUCUCAUCCUCUUUCUCCUUCUCUCUCUCCACAUUAAUUCUUCAGACUUUAUAUGAACUGUAAUAUCAAUAAUCUUAUAUAUUCUCUUGUCUACUUUCUCCUUUUCUCUCCACUCUCCUUCUCAGCAUCUCAGGUGUUUGGGAACUUUUGAAGAGGUGGAUUAUAGUGUCUGCACCCCUCCCUCUCUACUUGCUUUACCUCCUAUAAUCAUGAUAAUAAUCCCUCAUCUCAGUUAUCUACCUAAGCCUUAUUUGUGUGUGAGUACGAAUUGGACGGCUGAGUACAGAUAGGUGGAAGUCCCCAAAACCAACCUCACAGUCAGCUUUUACUCUGAACAGUAUUGAGGGGACAUGUGUGGUACUCUCACCAUACUAUUACUGUUGUGUGUAUGAGGCUUGUCUUGUCUCUCAUCCUCUCACAGUGUCUGCUGAUCUGUGCCAAUACUCUCAUUAUGUGUGUGUUGUUAUCAGUACUGCACUUAGCUCUUCCCGGCUCAAUAAACAUGCCACAGUCC
Molecule: long non-coding RNA, 5010 nt
Organism: Eriocheir sinensis (Chinese mitten crab)
Lineage: Eukaryota; Metazoa; Arthropoda; Malacostraca; Decapoda; Varunidae
Exons: 2
Source: RefSeq, a predicted model, not a curated record